Molecule: long non-coding RNA, 228 nt
Organism: Pezoporus flaviventris
Lineage: Eukaryota; Metazoa; Chordata; Aves; Psittaciformes; Psittacidae
Exons: 3
Source: RefSeq, a predicted model, not a curated record
CGCGGUCCUGCCCCAUCCCAGGUACCUUGUCCCUCUCCUGGUCCCGGGACUCCCAUAUCCCUGUCCUGAAUGUGGUGCCCUGUGUCCCUGCAUGCUCCCAGUACCCCCUUGUCCCUGUCUUGGUCCCCACACAUCCCUUCCUAAUCCCAGUAAUCCCAUGUCGCUGUCCUGUUCUCCCACAUCUCAGGUCCCUUGUCCCUGUCCAAAUCGCAGUCCCCCCAUGUCCCU